Molecule: transfer RNA, 64 nt
Filed under: Galiblatta cribrosa
Lineage: Eukaryota; Metazoa; Arthropoda; Insecta; Blattodea; Blaberidae
Description: tRNA-His
Source: RNAcentral
ACCUAAAUAGUUUAAUUAAAAUAUUGAUUUGUGGUAUCAAAGAUAUAUAAAUAUAUUUUAGGUU